RNAcentral lists this ribosomal RNA (680 nucleotides) under uncultured bacterium. RNAcentral's name for it is "bacterial SSU rRNA". It matches the Rfam family "Bacterial small subunit ribosomal RNA", at positions 806 to 1491 of the family's 1533-position model. The record is from RNAcentral.
ACGAUGUCUACUAGUUGUCGGGUUUUAAUUAACUUGGUAACGCAGCUAACGCGUGAAGUAGACCGCCUGGGGAGUACGGUCGCAAGAUUAAAACUCAAAGGAAUUGACGGGGACCCGCACAAGCGGUGGAUGAUGAGGAUUAAUUCGAUGCAACGCGAAAAACCUUACCUACCCUUGACAUGUACGGAAGCCACGAGAGAUCGAGGUGUGCUCGAAAGAGAGCCGUAACACAGGUGCUGCAUGGCUGUCGUCAGCUCGUGUCGUGAGAUGUUGGGUUAAGUCCCGCAACGAGCGCAACCCUUGUCAUUGGUUGCUACGAAAGAGCACUCUAAUGAGACUGCCGGUGACAAACCGGAGGAAGGUGGGGAUGACGUCAAGUCCUCAUGGCCCUUAUGGGUAGGGCUUCACACGUCAUACAAUGGUACAUACAGAGGGCCGCCAACCCGCGAGGGGGAGCUAAUCCCAGAAAGUGUAUCGUAGUCCGGAUUGUAGUCUGCAACUCGACUACAUGAAGUUGGAAUCGCUAGUAAUCGCGGAUCAGCAUGUCGCGGUGAAUACGUUCCCGGGUCUUGUACACACCGCCCGUCACACCAUGGGAGCGGGUUUUACCAGAAGUAGGUAGCUUAACCGCAAGGGGGGCGCUUACCACGGUAGGAUUCGUGACUGGGGUGAAGUCGUAA